Molecule: non-coding RNA, 145 nt
Filed under: Schistosoma mansoni
Lineage: Eukaryota; Metazoa; Platyhelminthes; Trematoda; Strigeidida; Schistosomatidae
Source: RNAcentral
UUCGCCCCGUUGCUGCUACCUUGACGUGGUGGUCGGGCUUGCCUAUCGUGAUGAACCAAUUGAGCUAUGCUGGCUGGAACAAUAGGUCCUCAAGGUCCUACCAUGCCAGACAGGUCGGUUGAAGAGCGGUAAGACUAAAAGCAGC